RNAcentral lists this ribosomal RNA (309 nucleotides) under uncultured Prevotella sp. RNAcentral describes it as "bacterial SSU rRNA". It matches the Rfam family "Bacterial small subunit ribosomal RNA", at positions 28 to 330 of the family's 1533-position model. Lineage: Bacteria; Pseudomonadati; Bacteroidota; Bacteroidia; Bacteroidales; Prevotellaceae. The record is from RNAcentral.
GAUGAACGCUAGCUACAGGCUUAACACAUGCAAGUCGCAGGGUAACGCGAGGGAAGCUUGCUUCCCUUGACGACGACUGGCGCACGGGUGAGUAACGCGUAUCCAACCUUCCCAUGACCACGGGAUAACCCGUUGAAAGACGGACUAAUACCGUAUGACGUCGUUUGCUGACAUCAAAUAACGAUUAAAGGUUUGGCGGUGAUGGAUGGGGAUGCGUCUGAUUAGCUUGUUGGCGGGGUAACGGCCCCCUAGGCGACGAUUCGUACGAGUCUUUAUUGGAAGGUCCUUUAUUUUACACUCCGACCAAUG